GCUGACCUCUGCGGCGUGCUUAACGACAGUCCAACUCGACGGUUAAGCUUCCCCAAACUUUCCUGGGGUUAACACGAAUUGGUCGGAACGGGUUGGAAUUUUAACCACUGUUGGGUACCUGGCCGUGCACCUCCGGGAUAAGCCUGGGGAAACUGGGUCUUAAUACCGGAUAGGACUGCACCGUUGAGGCUCUUGUGGAAAGUUUUUUCGGUGUGGGAUUGGGCCCUCGGCCUAUCAGCUUGUUGUGGGUAAUGGCCUACCAAGGCGGCGACGGGUACCGGCCUGAGAGGGUGGACGGCCACAUUGGGACUGAGACACGGCCCAGACUCCUACGGGAGGCACAAUGGGGAAUAUUGCACAAUGGCGGAAGCCUGAUGCAGCGACGCCGCGUGGGGGUAUGACGGCCUUCGGGUUGUAAACUCCUGUUCACCAUCGACGAAGGGUUUCUGACGGUAGAUGGAGAAGAAGCACCGGCUAACUACGUGCCAGCAGCCGCGGUAAUACGUAGGGUGCGAGCGUUGUCCGGAAUUACUGGGCGUAAAGAGCUCGUAGGUGGUUUGUCGCGUCGUCUGUGAAAUUCCGGGGCUUAACUCCGGGCGUGCAGGCGAUACGGGCAUAACUUGAGUACUGUAGGGGAGACUGGAAUUCCUGGUGUAGCGGUGAAAUGCGCAGAUAUCAGGAGGAACACCGGUGGCGAAGGCGGGUCUCUGGGCAGUAACUGACGCUGAGGAGCGAAGGCAUGGGGAGCGAACAGGAUUAGAUACCCUGGUAGUCCAUGCCGUAAACGGUGGGCGCUAGGUGUGGGUUUCCUUCCACGGGAUCCGUGCCGUAGCUAACGCAUUAAGCGCCCCGCCUGGGGAGUACGGCCGCAAGGCUA
RNAcentral lists this ribosomal RNA (877 nucleotides) under uncultured Actinomycetes bacterium. RNAcentral's name for it is "bacterial SSU rRNA". It matches the Rfam family "Bacterial small subunit ribosomal RNA", at positions 29 to 896 of the family's 1533-position model. Lineage: Bacteria; Bacillati; Actinomycetota; Actinomycetes. The record is from RNAcentral.